CCUACGGGAGGCAGCAGUUGGGAAUUUUGCACAAUGGACGAAAGUCUGAUGCAGCAACGCCGCGUGCGGGAUGAAGAUUUUCGGAUUGUAAACCGCUUUUAUUUGGGAGUAACUGUUUGAACGUACCAAAUGAAUAAGCACCGGCUAACUCCGUGCCAGCAGCCGCGGUAAUACGGAGGGUGCAAACGUUGUCCGGAAUUACUGGGCGUAAAGCGCAUGUAGGUGGUCUAAUAAGUGAACGAUUAAAUACCGACGCUUAACGUCGGAAAGGUUAUUCAUACUGUUAGACUCGAGGAAGACAGGGGCAGAUGGAACUUUAAGUGUAGGAGUGAUAUCCGUAGAUAUUUAAAGGAACACCAAUGGCGAAGGCAGUCUGCUGGGUCUUUUCUGACACUGAGAUGCGAAAGUGUGGGGAGCAAACGGGAUUAGAUACCCCCGGUAGUCCACACUGUAAACGAUGCUCACUAGUCGUUGGUAGGGUAGUACGUACCCCGUUUACGGUACCGAACGACUAACGACGUUAAGUAGAGCCGCCGUGGGAGGUACGAACGACAAGUUAAACUUAAAUAGAAUAGAGCGUGAGAGUGCCGACGGACGACGACGAGGGAGAGG
RNAcentral lists this ribosomal RNA (612 nucleotides) under uncultured bacterium. RNAcentral's name for it is "bacterial SSU rRNA". It matches the Rfam family "Bacterial small subunit ribosomal RNA", at positions 338 to 950 of the family's 1533-position model. The record is from RNAcentral.